RNAcentral lists this unclassified non-coding RNA (841 nucleotides) under Hevea brasiliensis (rubber tree). Lineage: Eukaryota; Viridiplantae; Streptophyta; Magnoliopsida; Malpighiales; Euphorbiaceae. The record is from RNAcentral.
CGGCUGAAGGAGGAAGAAGAAUAGGGGCUACCAAACCUGUUGAUAUAAUCCCAUGAGUGCCUAGAAGUAGGUGACACUAUUUCUGAAUCACUGAGAUUUCCCACUGCAUACUCAUUUUCUGAUUUGUUAAAUGAACUAUCAUCAACAAUAUAGCCAUUGGGAAAAACAGAAGAAAGGAGAGUUUCAUCCCUUCGAUGACCCAUCAGAUUUUCAUGCAUAUGCAAUGUGAUCUCCUUGGCAACCUCUCGUGAUUCUUGUUCCUCAUCAUCUUCAGGUUCAUCACAAAACUCUUCACCCUGUAAUAUUGUUGGUGAUGAGGUAGGUGGCGAAACCACAGCCUUAAUGUCACGAGUCUUCCCAGGGCUAGGCUUCAAUACUACAAUUCGCGUUGGCUGAGCAGCAUAUUCUUCAAACCUCUGAUUGGCAAAAGUAGGAGAACAUCCAGAAUUAUUUUUGUCCCACACAGUAGCUUGCCCAGUCUGGGUUGGAUUAUCUGCCUGCAUAUCACACUUCUUUUCUGGUCCUGCAAACUUUUCAUUACCAAUUGCCUUAGAAGGUCUAAGUACAGUGAUGCGUUUUGUCUCAGGAGGUGGAGGAAUAGACUGCAUAUCAUGAAGAUGUCGAGAGAACAUGGAAUUAGGUUCUUGCAGAAACUUGAUGAAUAAAUCUCUAUUGGAGCUUAAAACUUCUAAUGCAUCUUGGAACUCCUUGGACUGGCGACCUUUCUCAUCUGUCGCCAAACGUUUUGCUUCCAUGAACUUCUGGCGAAUGAGGGUCAUCCUUUUCUCAUUUAUACUUUCAUUUUGCCUUCCCUUGUGUGGAGAAAUAUCUCUUACAUUUA